AGGGUUCCCGCGGGGCCUUCUGGGCACCACGACCUCGCCUUACGCGUCCGGGCGCAAGCCCCGUCCGAGGCCGCAGAGUCGGUGCCGUCUCCGGAGCUGCGCACACAGCGCACUGGGCCGAUCCGCCCUCCGGGACCGAGCCCUUGGCCCGGGGACCGUGCAGGCCCGGGGCCCUGGAGGCCGAGGAUCCAGGAGAGUUCACCUAGAAGGUGAAGUGCGGACCCGCCUCGGGAGCCGCGACCCGAGGGAAGGGACCCGCGGCUUCUGGCGCGCAGCAUCCGACUCGAAAUCCGCCUCCAGGGCGCCCCUGGCAGGCGCCUCGCUGUACCGGCCUAGCAGGGCCGCAGCCGGGGACGCCGCCCGGGCUGGGGUGGGGUCGGUUCCUCCGCGCUUUGGGGCUGCGCUCCGGUCCGGCCCCUGCCCAGCAUCGCCGAGUUCGUUUUCUAAAAAGGAGUUUUGGAAGCUCGGAUGGUCCCAUUUUGAAGCAAGGAGGCUGAGGCAGGAAGGUCACGAAGAGUUUGAUGGCAGCCAGGACCACUUGGAGGGACCCUGUCUCCAAACUCCCCCCAAAACAACAGAAAACCCCAAAACAAAAACACAUAAACACGAAAGUCCUCUGUCUUCAUCUUUGCUUGUAUGGUGCACUAUUAUUUUGUCUAACGUACAUGGUCUCUCUCACUAUUUCCGGUCUUUCUACAUGACCCUUCAAAUCCACCGUGGGCUGAGAAAGACACCCUGGAGCACAUCUGUUGGGAGUAUUACAGUUGCGCAAGGCACACAACCCACAUCACAUUGGAAUAAGGCGGAAGAUGUCCAUCUCACGGAAAUACUCAGCCUUCAGUCAUGUGCCUGGAGUUUAAAUGACUUGACGGAGACCCAGUUUCCUUCUCAUCCAUCCUCUUCCUCACCUGGGCUUCCUCCUCGGCCCCUGCUCCUGACAGCUCCGAGACAAACUGGUCAGCGCAAGUUCAGAGAAGACCAGUGCGAUCCGCCCAGUAGCUCUGGUGCUGGUUCCAGGAUGCAGCAGCUGCCACACACGCCUGUCCUGGACGCAGUUGCUGUGGCUGGGAAACUGUCCCCAGCCCGCUCUGGGCAGCUGCGGUCCUGUCUCUGGGACAAGGGGCAGCUCCAGUUGUCAGGUGGAGGCCUCCACAUCAUUCUUGGAAACAAGAGGCUCAAACGGAGGGAGAGGGGCGGAGGGAAAGCUCCAGGCAGAAGAGGAGCAGUGGAAAUGCCGCAGCCUGGUGACAAACGGGUUACAGAAACCAGGGCUAGGGACAGGCGUGGGGAAGCCCUCGGGACUGCUUUAUGGGGAAAGCCCGAGCAUUAUUAGCAUACACGUUCGCAUCGAUGGUUAUUUGGUGGGACAGCAGUAUUUCUUCAUAUCCCAGUUUAGCUGUAUUCUUUGCAGCUAAAGUUGCAAAAUAAGUAAGCUUUGUAUAUGUAAACCUUCAGUAUAUGGCUCUUGAAUUAAUGGAUUUUAUUUUAGAUUCUCCCUAUUCAAAUAAUAUUUUGAAGGGAAAUAAGAAAAAAGGAAUCUUUCCUCCUUAUAUAAUUGUUUCUGCAGAUUAACGUUUGAGAAAACACAUCGCAGAUCACUUAGGAGACACUAGAAAAAUAUCAUUCAGUUGGAAACCAAAAACUUCGCUGUGCAACCAACUCAGAUUUUAAUUGGUCAUGUGACCCCAAAAAGUCCUUUGAUUUCUUGAGAUUGUGUCAACAUGAUUUUAUCAGUAUGAAUGAUGUUAUUUAAAUUCUUCAUGGGGAAAUCAGGACCCUGAAAAAAGUACCUGUAUUAUUCUAGAUAGAGCCUGUAAUGGCAUCUUAAUGCCACAUGUACCAUUCAUUUCCGGGUUCAUGCUUGAGGGUGGUUAUAAAAGUGCUUUAAAAGUUUUUAAUGAAUUAUAGAUCUCAGCACAUGUAUCUUCCAGAUGAAAAGUUAAUUAAAUCAAAUAAACAAAUGCCUACUAAAAAGCACCCUCCCGGGUGCAGGGAUUGGGUUUGGUGAGCGGUGCACACAGGAGGACGGAGCCCCUGUCUCCUCUGUGAGGCACCUGCAGCUCCGUCCGUCUGUCUGUCGGAGGGGAGGGGAGGGAAAAUGGUCCACUCAGCGGUCCUUCCAGAGUGUGACGGUGUCCGAGAAAGCAACAGAGUGUUGGGGAGUUUCAAAGAGCGGAAAGAGAAGCUCCGAGGCUACUCAGAAAGACUGUACAGGACAUAAAACUGGGAUGGUCCGCGAAGGAGGAAUGGGUAAGACAUCUCAGAGUUAAGAGAGCAACAAGAACAACAAGGCAG
Molecule: long non-coding RNA, 2295 nt
Filed under: Heterocephalus glaber (naked mole-rat)
Lineage: Eukaryota; Metazoa; Chordata; Mammalia; Rodentia; Bathyergidae
Description: lncRNA (ENSHGLG00100045877.1)
Source: RNAcentral